UCGUCUCUUCAGAGACGGGUAAACCCUAGUAGCCGCCACCCUUUCCACCGUUCUCCGGUGGCAGCGCCGCCUCAAAUCGGUCCCAAAAUUACACCAUGAAAUCGCCAUGGAUUCCUCUGCCUAAAUCCAUAACCCGUUCCCUUCAAAUCCCCCUCAAUCCCUUCGAAUCUCGAAUCAAAGUUCGGAACCCUAAAACCCCAAAUCCUAUGACAAGUCAGAAACCACUGGUUUUGUUGGGUUUCAGGCUUCGAAAUGGUCGGAAAUAUAGGUUGAUUAGUUGUUCUUGGCAAGAACAACUGACUAGCCUCAAUUUCGGGUCAUUUCGAGACUCCCUGACCUCAUGCAAGACCAAAGACUCACAAGAUCGAGGUUGUUCAUCAAAUCCCUCUUACGUGUCUGGUAGAUAAAUAGACAGUGCAUUCCCUUCUUUGACGGUAUUUCUUCAGAACUCAUUGAAUGACAGGCUGAGUUAUGGAUUUGGUUUUAUGUAGGAGAUAAGUGUAGUGUAUGAAAAAUAUAAUUGAUGUUUGGUUUCAGCUUGGUUUGAGUCAUGUAAUUCGAGUUAUGAAAUGGUAAAGGGUUGACCCCUUGUUGUUUAUUAGCUAUAUCAUCUUAUUGUGUUUUGGUUUAUUGCCCCAAGCUAGUUUAAUUACUUGAGUAUAAUCGUUUGUAGCAUCUGUUUGUUCUGAAACUAGGACACUACUCGACUAGGCUGAAAUUGAAAAUUCCAUCCUCUUCUGGCAUGUAUAAGUAGGACUGUCCUGAAGGUGUUUGUUUGGUUAGCAUACUUGUUCUUUAUGAAACAGCUCUAUACAUGAUUUGUUAAGUGGUAUUUAGAGUUUUGGUGUGAA
This is a long non-coding RNA of Nicotiana attenuata, 851 nucleotides long. RefSeq lists it as uncharacterized. The transcript is spliced from 2 exons. The record is from RefSeq and is a predicted model, not a curated record. NCBI's taxonomy places the organism in Eukaryota, Viridiplantae, Streptophyta, Magnoliopsida, Solanales, Solanaceae.